CAGCCGCCGCGGGAAUACGUAGGUCCCGAGCGUUGUCCGGAUUUAUUGGGCGUAAAGCGAGCGCAGGCGGUUAGAUAAGUCUGAAGUUAAAGGCUGUGGCUUAACCAUAGUACGCUUUGGAAGCUGUUUAACUUGAGUGCAAGAGGGGAGAGUGGAAUUCCAUGUGUAGCGGUGAGGUGCGUAGAUAUAUGGAGGAACACCGGUGGCGAAAGCGGCUCUCUGGCUUGUAACUGACGCUGAGGCUCGAAAGCGUGGGGAGCAAACAGGAUUAGAUACCCCGGUAGUCCCUGUCUCUUAUACC
RNAcentral lists this ribosomal RNA (301 nucleotides) under uncultured bacterium. Its description in RNAcentral is "partial 16S ribosomal RNA". It matches the Rfam family "Bacterial small subunit ribosomal RNA", at positions 509 to 808 of the family's 1533-position model. The record is from RNAcentral.